CCUACGGGCGGCAGCAGUGAGGAAUAUUGGUCAAUGGACGAGAGUCUGAACCAGCCAAGUAGCGUGAAGGAUGACUGCCCUAUGGGUUGUAAACUUCUUUUAUAUGGGAAUAAAAUGUUCCACGUGUGGGAUUUUGUAUGUACCAUAUGAAUAAGGAUCGGCUAACUCCGUGCCAGCAGCCGCGGUAAUACGGAGGAUCCGAGCGUUAUCCGGAUUUAUUGGGUUUAAAGGGAGCGUAGGUGGAUUGUUAAGUCAGUUGUGAAAGUUUGCGGCUCAACCGUAAAAUUGCAGUUGAAACUGGCAGUCUUGAGUACAGUAGAGGUGGGCGGAAUUCGUGGUGUAGCGGUGAAAUGCUUAGACAUCACGAAGAACUCCGAUUGCGAAGGCAGUUCACUGGACUGCAACUGACACUGAGGCUCGAAAGUGUGGGUAUCAAACAGGAUUAGAUACCCCUGUAGUC
This 460-nucleotide ribosomal RNA is filed under the name uncultured bacterium. RNAcentral describes it as "partial 16S ribosomal RNA". It matches the Rfam family "Bacterial small subunit ribosomal RNA", at positions 338 to 795 of the family's 1533-position model. The record is from RNAcentral.